AGCAGCCGCCGCGGUAAUACAGAGGGUGCGAGCGUUAAUCGGAUUUACUGGGCGUAAAGCGUGCGUGGGCGGCUUUUUAAGUCGGAUGUGAAAUCCCUGAGCUUAACUUAGGAAUUGCAUUCGAUACUGGGAAGCUAGAGUAUGGGAGAGGAUGGUAGAAUUCCAGGUGUAGCGGUGAAAUGCGUAGAGAUCUGGAGGAAUACCGAUGGCGAAGGCAGCCAUCUGGCCUAAUACUGACGCUGAGGUACGAAAGCAUGGGGAGCAAACAGGAUUAGAUACCCGAGUAGUCCCUGUCUCUUAUAA
Molecule: ribosomal RNA, 303 nt
Filed under: uncultured bacterium
Lineage: Bacteria
Description: partial 16S ribosomal RNA
Rfam family: Bacterial small subunit ribosomal RNA
Source: RNAcentral